GCGGCGUGCCUAUACAUGCAGUCGAGCGAAUGGAUUAAGAGCUUGCUCUUAUGAAGUUAGCGGCGGACGGGUGAGUAACACGUGGGUAACCUGCCCAUAAGACUGGGAUAACUCCGGGAAACCGGGGCUAAUACCGGAUAACAUUUUGAACCGCAUGGUUCGAAAUUGAAAGGCGGCUUCGGCUGUCACUUAUGGAUGGACCCGCGUCGCAUUAGCUAGUUGGUGAGGUAACGGCUCACCAAGGCAACGAUGCGUAGCCGACCUGAGAGGGUGAUCGGCCACACUGGGACUGAGACACGGCCCAACUCCUACGGGAGGCAGCAGUAGGGAAUCUUCCGCAAUGGACGAAAGUCUGACGGA
Molecule: ribosomal RNA, 360 nt
Filed under: Bacillus cereus
Lineage: Bacteria; Bacillati; Bacillota; Bacilli; Caryophanales; Bacillaceae
Description: bacterial SSU rRNA
Rfam family: Bacterial small subunit ribosomal RNA
Source: RNAcentral